UGAUAACUUUGCGAAAUUAAUAAAAAAAUAAGUGGAUGUCGACGAGCCGGGCGUCGAGAAUUCCACGAUGUGUAUAAUAGAAUCAGCUGUCCAAUCGAAUGAGGUGUUGACGCGGCGCAGUGAACAAUCGAAACGAAUGUCUGUAUUAGCGAAAGAAGUGCGGGCGAUGAUCCCGUCCUUUUUGUUAAGUUGUGUAGUGUUUUCAAAUGUUGAGUGUGGUGCGGUGCGUCGUAUGUGGUGAGAUCCUAAGCGUUCUCAACAGUUUUCCUGACAUUCUCUCAACGCACAAGGGUGCGAUGCAAAAACACAAAGAAUGCGAACGUUUAACCUCUGAGCAAAAGAUGAGAAAUGCCUAAAUGACCGAUGUGAAUCGUCGAAGCGAUGUUAUUUCCCAUGCUGUAAUGGCUGAAAUGUCGCAUUUUGAAGAAGAACGUGAUACACAAAUAAAACAGUGAGAAGCUUAGUACCUAUUAGUGUCUUGGUAACGAAAAUAUAGUCUUUUAUUUAAAAGAAAUGCAAAAUGUUAUGGUAACUAAAACGUAACCGAAAUGCUAACAUAUGCAUUUGUAGAGGCAACAGAUGGAUAACAAAGAGAAUAAUACGACGAUGAAAAUAAAAUAACGGAUAUGCUAGUUACUGCUAACAAAUGAGUUACAAAUGCGCUAAAUGUUUAUAUGUUAGAGGUAAACAUACCGCUAACCACACCAAUAACCCUUAGGGUAACUAAUAUUGCUGUUAUGAGUAACACAUGCAUAGGUAGCCCAUUCGUUAACACAUUCGGUAGCAUAUGCAUUUUUUACAUCUAACAGACUGUAAACAGAUUUGGUAACUGAUAUGUGCCAUACUGCUAAUCAAAAUAUUAUAUAAUAAAUAACUUCAGUCA
This is a non-coding RNA of Bactrocera oleae (olive fruit fly), 883 nucleotides long. NCBI's taxonomy places the organism in Eukaryota, Metazoa, Arthropoda, Insecta, Diptera, Tephritidae. The record is from RefSeq and is a predicted model, not a curated record.